UCAGUUUUGAGAACAAGAGGACACAGGUGGUUAGAUGCUGUGCCUGGCUCUGGUCCUUGUCAUGGAGCUGUAACAGUAUGGCUCAGUGUACAUAAGCUGCUCCGUGGAGUAAAAAGCCAAAGAGUGAAGACUCUGAAAAAGUCUGAAAAGUCGUCGAUCCAAAGUGUCUUGAAUUGGAAAGGUGAAAGCCCGGGAUGGCGACAGUCCCCACCGAUAUUAGGAGACUUUUGGAUGACUGCGAGCUGUUUGUGACCGAGCUCCUCGAAGAUGAGGACCUCAGUGAAAGUGCCCAAGAGGCACGUCAAAUCCUGCUGGGUAACUUCAGAUUCGUCCAUGAAAGGAACCCUCAAGAAUUCCCCCUUGCAAUGGACUAUCGGGAAGAAGAUGGUUCUGAUGACAACCGCAGUUUCGAUUUGGGUCGCUUUGCCCAAUCAGAUGACGCCUCAUUAGCCUCUGACAACCAAGAUGAUGGAGCCCCAGAGUACUUCGAUGACAUUCCCUUUGUGGCACCCCAGGAUGUCAAGAAAGUCUUGAAGACAGGCUACUUGGAGAAGAAACGAAAAGAUCACAGCUUCUUUGGCUCAGAGUGGCAAAAGAGGUGGUGUGUUCUCAACGAUCUAAUAUUCUACUACUUUGGCAGUGAAAAAGAUAAACACCAGAAGGGCUCUUUUUAUAUCAGUGACUACGACGUGCAGCUGGUGACCAACCUGAGAAAAGACUCCAAGAAAAAUUCCUGCUUUGAGUUCUUUGCCCCCGGACGGCGUUCUUUCCAGUUUGCUGCCAGCAGUCCUGAAAAGGCCAAAGAAUGGGUGGACCAGAUCAAGAUUAUACUCCGAGAUCUCAGCUCCGACAUCAUCCCUGUGGACGAUGAAGAGGAGGAGGAGGAAGAGGGGGAGGAUGAGGAGACCUACGAUGACAUUGAGGGCGCUCCCCUGCCUCGGCCCGGUGCUGGCCCGGCCUCUCAGAGUGGCAGGUGGGGAGCAGGGCAGGAGACGAGGACCGCCGAUGAGGACGAGGAGGAUAUCUACGAGGUGCUGCCAGAUGAGGAUUUUCCAGAUCCAGUGGAUGAGAGUGAGGAGAGGACCAACAAACAAGUUUGUUCAUCAGAUUAUGCAAACUACUACCAGGGGUUAUGGGACUGCCUGCCCGACGAGCCAGACGAGCUGGCCUUCCAGAGAGGAGAUCUCAUCUACAUCAUUAGCAAGGAGUACAACAUUCACGGCUGGUGGGUCGGCGAGCUCAACGGCACUGUGGGUAUCGUCCCAAAGGACUUCCUGGUCCCCGCCUACAUCCUCUGAGCUCCAACAGAUUGCCAUUGAGGUAUAUUCAGUCGUUGACCUGCCAUUUAUGGCAUCUGCUGGCUGGAAGAAGUACUGCAUAAAGCAGUCUGAGCGGUGCAGUGGGCAAAUGGCGCUGCUGCUGCUGACGACGCAUCCGGCUGUGAUUUUCAAACACAGCACUGUCACAUAAUCUCUCUGAUUAUUCUGUAAAUGAUACCAUGUAAACCUGCUGCAGCACUUCUUGUCCCCGUUCAGUGAACCACCUGGAAACCCAAACCAGAGCAAAAGCAACUCCAGUCAGAUGAUAGACUAAAUUAAGCUACAGCAAUUUUGAUAAUCUGAUAAUUGUUUAAGUCAUUUCUUAAGUCAAACAAAAGUGUGUGAAAUAUGAGAAUGUGCUGCUUCUCUAUAAAUUGAAUAUGUUUCGGUUUUUGACUGAAAAAAAAAAUGGUUCACUGUGGCCUCUGGUAAAUCGUGACAGGAAAUUUUUAACUUUGGACACUUUUUAAUUUUUCAUAGAUCAAACAAUGAAUUGUUUAAUCAGAAGAAUAACAGAACGACCACUAAUGAAAAUGACUGCAGCAAAUAGUAAAUUAUUGUGGACUCAUUCAUCAGUUCACUGCUUAAAAUGAGCAAGAGGCCAAUUGUUCUCCCUUCAUCCUCAGCAUGAAUUUAAAACUCAGCAGAUGUAUUGUACAAAUUGUAAAAUAUUCUGAAACUGCAUAUAAUAUCAGCUACAAUAGCAGCUGCCUGUACUGCUCGUGUCCGAUCCGUCAGU
Molecule: RNA transcript, 2058 nt
Organism: Scatophagus argus
Lineage: Eukaryota; Metazoa; Chordata; Actinopteri; Scatophagidae
Gene: skap1
Gene name: src kinase associated phosphoprotein 1
Exons: 14
Source: RefSeq, a predicted model, not a curated record